UUGACCUCGGAUCAGGUAGGGAUACCCGCUGAACUUAAGCAUAUCAAUAAGCGGAGGAAAAGAAACCAACCGGGAUUGCCUCAGUAACGGCGAGUGAAGCGGCAAGAGCUCAAAUUUGAAAUCUGGCCCCUCCGGGGUCCGAGUUGUAAUUUGCAGAGGAUGCUUCGGGUGCGGCCCCUGUCUAAG
This 186-nucleotide ribosomal RNA is filed under the name Aspergillus caespitosus. Its description in RNAcentral is "partial 28S ribosomal RNA". It matches the Rfam family "Eukaryotic large subunit ribosomal RNA", at positions 1 to 185 of the family's 3401-position model. The record is from RNAcentral. RNAcentral also lists the same sequence under 3 other names. Lineage: Eukaryota; Fungi; Ascomycota; Eurotiomycetes; Eurotiales; Aspergillaceae.